RNAcentral lists this ribosomal RNA (253 nucleotides) under uncultured bacterium. RNAcentral's name for it is "partial 16S ribosomal RNA". It matches the Rfam family "Bacterial small subunit ribosomal RNA", at positions 524 to 776 of the family's 1533-position model. The record is from RNAcentral.
UACGGAGGGUGCGAGCGUUGUUCGGAAUCACUGGGCGUAAAGGGCGUGUAGGCGGUCCGCUAAGUCUGAUGUGAAAGCCCGGGGCUCACCCCCGGAAGGGCAUUGGAAACUGGCGGACUCGAGUCCCGGAGAGGAAGGUGGAAUUCCUGGUGUAGCGGUGAAAUGCGUAGAUAUCAGGAGGAACACCAAUAGCGAAGGCAGCUCGCUGGGACGUUACUGACACUGAGGCGCGAAAGCGUGGGGAGCGAACAGG